Molecule: ribosomal RNA, 251 nt
Filed under: uncultured bacterium
Lineage: Bacteria
Description: partial 16S ribosomal RNA
Rfam family: Bacterial small subunit ribosomal RNA
Source: RNAcentral
GACGGGGGGGGCAAGUGUUCUUCGGAAUUACUGGGCGUAAAGGGCACGUAGGCGGUGAAUCGGGUUGAAAGUGAAAGUCGCCAAAAAGUGGCGGAAUGCUCUCGAAACCAAUUCACUUGAGUGAGACAGAGGAGAGUGGAAUUUCGUGUGUAGGGGUGAAAUCCGUAAAUAUACGAAGGAACGCCAAAAGCGAAGGCAGCUCUCUGGGUCCCUACCGACGCUGGGGAGCGAAAGCGUGGGGAGCGAACAGG